RNAcentral lists this ribosomal RNA (437 nucleotides) under uncultured bacterium. RNAcentral's name for it is "bacterial SSU rRNA". It matches the Rfam family "Bacterial small subunit ribosomal RNA", at positions 29 to 472 of the family's 1533-position model. The record is from RNAcentral.
AUUGAACGCUGGCGGAAUGCUUUACACAUGCAAGUCGAGCGGCAGCGCGGGGGCAACCCUGGCGGCGAGCGGCGAACGGGUGAGUAAUGUAUCGGAACGUACCCAGUCGUGGGGGAUAACUAUCCGAAAGGAUAGCUAAUACCGCAUACGACCUGAGGGUGAAAGCGGGGGACCGUAAGGCCUCGCGCGAUUGGAGCGGCCGAUAUCGGAUUAGCUAGUUGGUGAGGUAAAGGCUCACCAAGGCGACGAUCCGUAGCUGGUCUGAGAGGACGACCAGCCACACUGGAACUGAGACACGGUCCAGACUCCUACGGGAGGCAGCAGUGGGGAAUCUUGCGCAAUGGGCGAAAGCCUGACGCAGCGACGCCGCGUGGGCGAAGAAGGCCUCGGUUGUAAAGCCUCUGGGGAGGAACGGAACGUAGUGCGGGGGCGUAAGU